GAUUUGGCUAGUCAUUUUGAAGUGUAAAGCAGAUAAUCACUUAUAUAAGCCCAAAUUAAAAUAAAUUAAAUUGUAAUUUGACCAGCACUCUUUCCGAAUUUAAUACAUCCUAAUUGUUAGGUUAGUAGUCUGCAUGGGCUUGGGUCCUGACAAUGCUUUUAGAGCAACCUAACAGACUAAGUGUGAAACUAAGUGCUGCAUUUGGGAAGUCAGUGGGAGCCACCUCUAAAACUCGUGACUCACCUAGUGCUCCAAGAUUCUGGACUAUUGGGUUACGGUCUAGCCCUAAUGAGAAUGUCAGGGAUUUGAGUGCUAUUACUAACAAUCUUAGUGAACUAUUACUAACAUCAAGAGGUUGACUUUUGGGCAUGUGGUUAGACCCAAAUCCACCCAAUUAUUAGGCCAGUAGUCCAUGCACACGAGUCAUGAUAGACAUACCUUCAGAGAUUGCUUCCAUGGCU
RNAcentral lists this unclassified non-coding RNA (461 nucleotides) under Hevea brasiliensis (rubber tree). Lineage: Eukaryota; Viridiplantae; Streptophyta; Magnoliopsida; Malpighiales; Euphorbiaceae. The record is from RNAcentral.